GUCGGACUUCCACUGCUGACCGCUACCGCCGCUUGUCCACUCCGGUUCCAUGGCUGAUUUCGGCUUCUAGAAGCAGCUCUCGCCCUUUUCAUUUCAUCCCACCAAUCGGGAAAUCCGAUGAUUAGAAAGAAACCCUCUUUGGCUUGAUUUCCUUGUGGUGGUGGGCGAUUGCACGGUGGUGGUGUUCGGUUGUGGUUGACCGCGGCAAGGCCGUACCCAAUUCCGAUGGUGGGUGGUUUUGAAGGCUUGAGGAUACCCUCGUUUGUUGCCUGCCUUCAAACUAGUCUGUAUGCCUUCCGGACAGUUGAUUCGCAGGUUGUGAGAUUGAUAUGGAUUCAACAAGGAUAAUGAGGAACUCGGAUUUGAGUCCUCAUCGGGUGGUUUGCCUACUCUGAUACGAUCUUAAAGAUGGUAAUCGAGAGAAACGAGAUUGGUAUUGAGAGACAUCGUAAACAAGCGUAAGAGAGAAUUGGGUUUAAAUUUUUGUGUGUAUAUUCCAUGUACAUUACGUCACUUUAUAUAGGACAAGGAUACAAUGUAAAUAAGGAAAAAUAUAUUCCCAUUCAAUUCUAUAUCAAAUCUCUUCCUUAUAUUCA
Molecule: non-coding RNA, 596 nt
Organism: Salvia hispanica
Lineage: Eukaryota; Viridiplantae; Streptophyta; Magnoliopsida; Lamiales; Lamiaceae
Source: RefSeq, a predicted model, not a curated record